Long non-coding RNA from Ananas comosus (pineapple), 372 nucleotides. RefSeq lists it as uncharacterized. The record is from RefSeq and is a predicted model, not a curated record. The transcript has 3 exons. NCBI's taxonomy places the organism in Eukaryota, Viridiplantae, Streptophyta, Magnoliopsida, Poales, Bromeliaceae.
GCGGAAUAGUUAUGAGCUUCUAUCUUAUGAUACUCCUCACAUAUUGUGGUUCAAUAUAUAUACCUACUCAUCUUAUUCUUCAGUUUGAAGAUUAGGGUUUUUGCAGGCACAACUUUUAGUAUUUUUGGGAACAUUUUCUUGAUAUCAUUUGGCACCCACCAAGCACCAGGUUGUAGAUGUCAACAAUAAUGCGAAUGAUGCGUUCUCUCCAAACCGUCCUUCUCCAAUGCAAGUCACAAGCUAACGACUGAAGGAUAUCAAAGAAUUGCUUAAAUUUUUACAAAUUAUUGAAAACUCGAAUGUCGAUUAUAUUUGAAACUAUUUAAACUUUAUUUUAUUUAGUAUGUUGCUACUAUAAAUGCUAGAUAUUGA